Molecule: ribosomal RNA, 815 nt
Filed under: uncultured bacterium
Lineage: Bacteria
Description: bacterial SSU rRNA
Rfam family: Bacterial small subunit ribosomal RNA
Source: RNAcentral
AGAGUUUGAUUCUGGCUCAGAACGAACGCUGGCAGCGUGGAUGAGGCAUGCAAGUCGAACGGUCCUUUUUAGGUAGCAAUAUUUGAAAAGGAUAGUGGCGGAAGGGCGAGUAAUGCGAGAGCAAGCUGCCCCUUGGCCGGGGACAACAUUUGGAAACGAAUGCUAAUACCGGAUAAGAAGCGCAACCGCAUGGUUGCGUCUUGAAAGAUGGGGACCCGCAAGGGCCUGUCGCCGAGGGAGGUGCUCCCGUGCCAUCAGCUAGUUGGUAAGGUAAUGGCUUACCAAGGCUUACGGCUAGGUGGACUGAGAGGUUGGUCACCCGCACUGGGACUGAGACACUGCCCAGACUCCUACGGGAGGCUGCAGUCGAGGAUCAUUCGCAAUGGGCGAAAGCCUGACGAUGCGACGCUGCGUGUAGGACGAAGGCCUUCGGGUCGUAAACUACUGUCAUGUGGGACAAGGGUGUCGGUGUUAACAGCACCAUACACUGGAUGGUACCACAAGAGGAAGCCACGGCUAACUCUGUGCCGGCAGCCGCGCUAAUACAGAGGUGGCGAGCGUUGUUCGGAUUUACUGGGCGUAAAGCGUGCGUAGGCGGUCGCGUGUGUUGGAUGUGAAAUCCCGGGGCUCACCCCCGGACGGGCAUCCAAAACUGCGUGGAUAGAGGCCGGGAGAGGAGUCUGGAACACAUGGUGUAGCGGUGAAAUGCGUUGAUAUCAUGUGGAACACCGGAUGCGAAGGCGAGACUCUGGAACGGAUCUGACGUUGAGGUACGAAAGCGUGGGGAGCAAACAAAAAAAGAUACCUUGGUAGUC